CUCCACGUUCAGGUGGGUGUUAGGGUC
This 27-nucleotide non-coding RNA is filed under the name Homo sapiens (human). The record is from RNAcentral. Lineage: Eukaryota; Metazoa; Chordata; Mammalia; Primates; Hominidae.